Long non-coding RNA from Eriocheir sinensis (Chinese mitten crab), 728 nucleotides. RefSeq lists it as uncharacterized. NCBI's taxonomy places the organism in Eukaryota, Metazoa, Arthropoda, Malacostraca, Decapoda, Varunidae. The transcript has 3 exons. The record is from RefSeq and is a predicted model, not a curated record.
AGACAGGUGAGGCAAUGACAGGUAAGGCGAAGACAGAUGAGGCGAAGACAGGUGAGGCAAAGACAGGCGAGGCUAAGACAGGUGAGGCGAAGACAGGUGAGGCAAAGACAGGUGAGGCGAAGACAGGUGAGGCAAAGACAGGUGAGGCGAAGACAGGUGAGGCAAUGACAGGUGAGGCAAUGACAGGUAAGGCGAAGACAGGUGAGGCGAAGACAGGUGAGGCGAAGACAGGUGAGGCGAAGACAGGUGAGGCAAUGACAGGUAAGGCGAAGACAGGUGAGGCGAAGACAGGUGAGGCGAAGACAGGUGAGGCGAAGACAGGUGAGGCGAAGACAGGUGAGGCAAAGACAGGUGAGGCGAAGACAGGUGAGGCGAAGACAGGUGAGGCAAAGACAGGUGAGGCGAAGACAGGUGAGGCAAAGACAGGUGAGGCAAAGACAGGUGAGGCAAAGACAGGUGAGGCGAAGACAGGUGAGGCAAAGACAGGUGAGGCGAAGACAGGUGAGGCAAAGACAGGUGAGGCAAAGACAGGUGAGGCGAAGACAGGUGAGGCAAAGACAGGUGAGGCAAAGACAGGUGAGGCAAAGACAGGUGAGGCGAAGACAGGUGAGGCGAAGACAGGUGAGGCAAAGACAGGUGAGGCGAAGACAGGUGAGGCGAAGACAGGUGAGGCGAAGACAGGUGAGGCGAAGACAGGUGAGGCGAAGACAGGUGAGGCGAAGACAGGU